AACGAACGCUGGCGGCAUGCCUAACACAUGCAAGUCGAACGACACCUUCGGGUCUAGUGGCGCACGCGUGCGUAACGCGUGGGAACCUGCCCUUAGGCUCGGAAUUACUCCCCUAAGGGGGUGCUAAUGCCGGAUAAUUUAUUCUAACAAAAGAUUUAACGCCGUUGGAUGGGCCCGCGUUGGUUUGGCCAGUUGGUAGUGUAAAAGCCUAUCACGGCGUCGAUCCAUAGCUGGUCUGAGAGGAAGGUCAGCCACACUGGGGCUGAGAAACGGCCCAGAAUACUACGGGAGGGAGGAGUGGGGAAUAUAGGACAAUGGGGGGAAGGCUGAACGAGUAAUGGCGGGAGAGUGAUGAAGGUGGUAGGGAAGUAAAGCUGGUUUACCCGGGACGAUAAUGACAGUACCGAGAGAAUAAGCACCGGCUAACUUCGUG
Molecule: ribosomal RNA, 433 nt
Filed under: uncultured bacterium
Lineage: Bacteria
Description: partial 16S ribosomal RNA
Rfam family: Bacterial small subunit ribosomal RNA
Source: RNAcentral